CCUUAGGAGAAAGAAGGUGGACUACAAACAUGGUUCGCCGCCUACUGGGUGCAGGAGAUGGGGAGCUGCAACACAGAGAACCUAAGUGACUCACCCCGAGUCCCACAUGGAGUCAGUGGCAGAACUGGAAAUGGAACCCAGAUCUUGAGUUCUAGGCCUGUGCUGAGCCACACGAGCACCUUUUUCCUAGCGAACAUGACACGUGUAGCUGGAGGAGAAGUAACGAGAGACCGGACAAUACCUCUUAAAAGAAAAUGGCUGCAAGCAGGAACCAAGGGCUGGGUCUGGAUCCUGGGAGCCACACUGUUGCAGCAGGAGAGGGCACCUGGCAUUGGCCACUGUCAGAAGACAGGAUACUGGAAUAGAUGGACCUUUGGCCUGACCCAGUAUGGACGUUCUUAUUUUCUUAGGGCAAGGACCUUGAAUCUGAUAUGAUGAGAAACAGGGAGCCAGUACAAAGAAACAAAAAAGGGCAUGACAUGGUCAGAGUGACAGGGAAGGAAGGCUAUUUUAGUGGCUGCAAUUUAUACAGGUGUGUGUAUUCUUCCAGUACAAAAGGGCAGCUUUUUAUGUUUUUAAUUAGUCUGCCACUGUGCAUCAUUUUUGUUACCCUUUGGAGGACUGCAGUGACAUUUUAACAGAAGGCACAUAAACUUCCUAUGAUGCGUGGUCUUUGUUGCAAUAUAAAUUAAAAAUUAUGACAUAUAUAACUCCAGAGAUUUCAAAAAUUCAUUGAGUCAGAUGUAGAACAUGUACAUCCUACCAUGUGCUAGUCUAAUGCAAUCCUCCUCAUCUUGCUGAAUAACCAUCACACGAUUUGAGUAAACUUCAGGAUUUUUUGCUAGAUAUUAACAUGUAUUUACAUAAUGUAAAUAUUGUAGAAAAAUGCUAUUAUUUAUUAAGUUAUAUCUUACCUACUAUUAAAACA
Gopherus evgoodei (Goodes thornscrub tortoise) is the source of this 928-nucleotide long non-coding RNA. RefSeq lists it as uncharacterized. Lineage: Eukaryota; Metazoa; Chordata; Testudines; Testudinidae. The record is from RefSeq and is a predicted model, not a curated record. The transcript is spliced from 4 exons.